CCUACGGGUGGCAGCAGUGGGGAAUAUUGGACAAUGGGCGAAAGCCUGAUCCAGCCAUGCCGCGUGUGUGAAGAAGGCCUUCGGGUUGUAAAGCACUUUCAGUGGGGAAGAAAGCCUUGGGGCUAAUACCCUCGAGGAAGGACAUCACCCACAGAAGAAGCACCGGCUAACUCCGUGCCAGCAGCCGCGGUAAUACGGAGGGUGCGAGCGUUAAUCGGAAUUACUGGGCGUAAAGCGCGCGUAGGCGGUCUGAUAAGCCGGUUGUGAAAGCCCCGGGCUCAACCUGGGAACGGCAUCCGGAACUGUCAGGCUAGAGUGCAGGAGAGGAAGGUAGAAUUCCCUGUGUAGCGGUGAAAUGCGUAGAGAUCGGGAGGAAUACCAGUGGCGAAGGCGACCUUCUGGACUGACACUGACGCUGAGGUGCGAAAGCGUGGGUAGCAAACAGGAUUAGAUACCCGAGUAGUC
Molecule: ribosomal RNA, 465 nt
Filed under: Vreelandella stevensii
Lineage: Bacteria; Pseudomonadati; Pseudomonadota; Gammaproteobacteria; Oceanospirillales; Halomonadaceae
Description: partial 16S ribosomal RNA
Rfam family: Bacterial small subunit ribosomal RNA
Source: RNAcentral